UAGGGAAUCUUCGGCAAUGGACGAAAGUCUGACCGAGCAACGCCGCGUGAGUGAAGAAGGUUUUCGGAUCGUAAAACUCUGUUGUUAGAGAAGAACAAGGACGUUAGUAACUGAACGUCCCCUGACGGUAUCUAACCAGAAAGCCACGGCUAACUACGUGCCAGCAGCCGCGGUAAUACGUAGGUGGCAAGCGUUGUCCGGAUUUAUUGGGCGUAAAGCGAGCGCAGGCGGUUUCUUAAGUCUGAUGUGAAAGCCCCCGGCUCAACCGGGGAGGGUCAUUGGAAACGGGGAGACUUGAGUGCAGAAGAGGAGAGUGGAAUUCCAUGGGUAGCGGUGAAAUGCGUAGAUAUAUGGAGGAACACCAGUGGCGAAGGCGGCUCUCUGGUCUGUAACGGACGCUGAGGCUCGAAAGCGUGGGGAGCAAACAGG
Molecule: ribosomal RNA, 429 nt
Filed under: Gemmatimonadota bacterium
Lineage: Bacteria; Pseudomonadati; Gemmatimonadota
Description: Gemmatimonadetes bacterium partial 16S ribosomal RNA
Rfam family: Bacterial small subunit ribosomal RNA
Source: RNAcentral